ACCUGUGUAUACCUGGUGAUCUUGUGAAAAUGGAGCUUCUGAUUCACUAGGUUUGGGUAGAGCCUGGAAUUCUUCAUUUCUUACAAGCUUCAGGUGAUGUCAAU
This 104-nucleotide microRNA precursor is filed under the name Marmota monax (woodchuck). Lineage: Eukaryota; Metazoa; Chordata; Mammalia; Rodentia; Sciuridae. The record is from RNAcentral.